ACGAUCCGAGUCCUUGACUGCAACCACCCAGAGUCACCCAGCCAAGCUGCGUACACAUUACUGACCCUCUGAAACUCCGUGAGGUCCCAAGAACAUGCUUGGAAUCCGUGUACAUCACCCCAUGUUGUCCUAAAAAAAAAACUGGGACUUGUUGUUGUCAUCUCUAUUUUGUAGACCAUUAAGAGAAUCACAGGCUCACUGAAGUACCCAGCUAGCAAGCAUGGAGCAGAACAUCGGUCUACCUAGGUGACAGCUUGGAGAAAGCUGUCCUUUAGGAUCAGAUUUUCUCAUCUAUUUCUAUGCUCCAGUCUGUUUCUUUCUGUUCUAUAAAUUGUUCUCCGUGUAAAAAAAUAUUGACAAAAAUUAUCUGGGGGAAAUCAUGUGAAUUCCUGCAGCUACCAGGUAUAAAUUCUAAUGGAGAACAACAAAGUGACAUCCUGGUUGGGACUGGCCAAAAUCAGUUCCCAAGUCUGAUCAGCAAGGGCAUAAAUUAAUCUAGAUGACUGAGUUUAUGUUCAUUUUCUCCCUUUUAUUUUAGGAAUUUU
Long non-coding RNA from Phyllostomus discolor (pale spear-nosed bat), 545 nucleotides. RefSeq lists it as uncharacterized. The record is from RefSeq and is a predicted model, not a curated record. The transcript is spliced from 2 exons. NCBI's taxonomy places the organism in Eukaryota, Metazoa, Chordata, Mammalia, Chiroptera, Phyllostomidae.